Molecule: ribosomal RNA, 460 nt
Filed under: uncultured bacterium
Lineage: Bacteria
Description: partial 16S ribosomal RNA
Rfam family: Bacterial small subunit ribosomal RNA
Source: RNAcentral
CCUACGGGAGGCAGCAGUGAGGAAUAUUGGUCAAUGGACGAGAGUCUGAACCAGCCAAGUAGCGUGAAGGAUGACUGCCCUAUGGGUUGUAAACUUCUUUUAUAAGGGAAUAAAACGAGCCACGUGUGCCUUUUUGCAUGUACCUUAUGAAUAAGGAUCGGCUAACUCCGUGCCAGCAGCCGCGGUAAUACGGAGGAUCCGAGCGUUAUCCGGAUUUAUUGGGUUUAAAGGGAGCGUAGGUGGGUUGUUAAGUCAGUUGUGAAAGUUUGCGGCUCAACCGUAAAAUUGCAGUUGAUACUGGCAGUCUUGAGUACAGUAGAGGUAGGCGGAAUUCGUGGUGUAGCGGUGAAAUGCUUAGAUAUCACGAAGAACUCCGAUUGCGAAGGCAGCUUACUGGACUGUAACUGACAUUGAGGCUCGAAAGUGUGGGUAUCAAACAGGAUUAGAUACCCUAGUAGUC